Long non-coding RNA from Bubalus bubalis (water buffalo), 1079 nucleotides. RefSeq lists it as uncharacterized. NCBI's taxonomy places the organism in Eukaryota, Metazoa, Chordata, Mammalia, Artiodactyla, Bovidae. The transcript has 3 exons. The record is from RefSeq and is a predicted model, not a curated record.
GAGAAAGGCAGUGAGCUCAGUGUCUUAUAAAUCAGCAGCAUUGAGCUGAACUGGAACUGUCAAACUGUGGAAAAACCUGCUGCCGUGCGAGCUUGUGAGUCUUUUCAAAAACAAAACCUAACCCUUGCCUUGCUCUCUAGAUGGGAGAGGGCUUAAUUUGAGUUCACGGAGGAGUGAGGAGUGCAAGAAGAAAUAUGGUUUGCUAAGAAAAUAAAAAAGAAUCAACUCAAGGCCCUGUGGCAUCUGUUGUUCAGCUCACAAAGCUUCUAUUGACUGAAGGAGGGGUUUGUUGAUCCAGAAAUCUGUGAUUGGCACACGAGGCAGUGGGAGCCUGAGGACUCCUGUGUCAGGCUGAGAUUUCUCAUCCAGUUCAGCAGUCACCAGCCAAAUGGCCUGCUGCAGAAAAACCCAAAGAUAGGGCUGAGACCCUGGCAUGAAACCGACCCUUCUCUUCCCUGAUGCGCGCGCUUCUCGGCUUAGGGGGAGACAGAGGCAGUGUGGGAAUGGGCCAUAUUGAAAAGGCGAGGUAGCAGGAAGGAGGCAGAGGGGAUAGGAAGGCAGAGACAAGUGGUCAAAGAGGGUUGCAAGGUCAAGGGCAGCUCUGCACAGGAAGGGAAGGCCGAGGAAAGGGUGUGUGGCUCAGGGGCUGGUCACAGAGGUAGAGACGUAUUCCGGCCCUCAAGGGAUGAACUGUCCAGUUGGGGCUCUAGGAACUCAACUAUUUUAUAAAAGGUCUACAAGCAAAGAAUUGGGGGGAAUUCGAGGAAGAGUCCCUUAGCUCUGAGGAGCAGGUUGGGAAAAGACCUGUGUAUUUGGUGACAUUUAAAAUGGUCCUUAAAAGAUGAUUAAGAUUUUGGUGGAUCAGCUUCUUGAACUCAGGGAACAGCAUGAGUGAAAAUACAGGCAGAACUUCCUCAGCAUCUCCAUGGCCCACGGCCCCAUCUCCAGGAUUAUUUUGAAGUAAAUCCCAGACAUCGUAUCAUUUCAUCCACAAGUAUUUCAGUACUAUCUCAGUAAGAUAAGGACUUUUAAACAUAUGCCAUUACAAUCCCAUUGUCAUACCUGAAAAUAACAAUUCC